Molecule: non-coding RNA, 3321 nt
Organism: Phoenix dactylifera (date palm)
Lineage: Eukaryota; Viridiplantae; Streptophyta; Magnoliopsida; Arecales; Arecaceae
Source: RefSeq, a predicted model, not a curated record
AUAUAUGUGUAUACGCACGUAUAUGUAUAUAUAUAUAUAUAUAGACACACACGCACACAUACAUACACACACAUAUACAUAUACAUAUACAUAAUAAGAAGCUUUGUCACCUUGCUAAUAAGAGACCUUUGUUAUUGCUAAGGACACUACAGGAAAAUGGGCCUUUUCCGACGCUUUUUUACCGACGCUAGGAUGAAGCGUCGGAAAAAAUUUCACCGCUCAUACAUUUGCCGACGCUUUCAUUUAGCGUCGGCAAUUCUUAGGAAUAGACGACGCUUAUUAGCGUCGUCGUAUUUUCCGGCCUAAAACGACGCUUAUAAGCGUCGUCAAAAGUCAAAUUCACAACAAAACCAGCGGCCGCCCCCCUCCUCCUCAUUUUGCAUCCCAAUUGAUCAAACCCUAGCUCCUCUGGCUCCUCCUCCCUCCUCUCUGAUGACGAGCGACCGACCGACCCUUGUCCUCUUCGGCGCCGAGCGACGUCCUCCGCCAAGCUCCUCUCGUCCUCUCUCCUCUCCGGCGCCGAGCGACCGUCCGCAUCCUCCUCUCUCGUCUCCGGCGCCGAGCGACCGGCCACCAGUACGGACACCGCUUCGAGAGCUCAAAAAGUGAAGAGGCUCCGGACCAUCUACGACAAGCUCUCGCUCGAAGGUUUCUCUGCCGAUCAAAUCGAACAGGCUCUCUCUGCUCUCAAGAGGAUUCGCCUGAAUAUGUAUUUUGUCAAAGUCCAUGGAUUCAUAUUUCCGUUAUAUCAUGUCAAGACAACUGCAGAGAUUAUAGAGAAUAAAGUUAGGAUCUUCUGAAGAUGCAUUGAAACCAAAAUAGGUAUUUGACUUGUUUCUAUGUGGUCAACUUCAUCUUUUUUAUGUUUAGCAUUUCCAAUGUCUGUUAAAGAUACCCUGCUUUUCAUUAAGGAUCCAGUUUCAUGCUUGUUAAUGGACUCUUCUUUAAUUCUCUUUUUUCCCGGGUGGUAACUGCAUGAAUUAAUAAGUUGUGGGCAUAUUGCUACAAGCCUAUUGUUUGCUUUUACUGAGACCUCGUGUUUGUUUAUUUCCAUCUCUUCUGUCAUGCUUCUCCCUUGGUAAGGAAACCGGAGAAACAUGGUCACAUUUAUCUGCAAUUAGAGUGUACAGAAUUAAUGUUAAAAUCUAUCAAUCAGUCAAACUGAAGUACAAAUCACAAAUAUAUCUAACUCUCUUGUUGGCCACAUACGUUUUUAACUCCCUUUUAUGCUACUCUCUUGUUAAGAAUUUUGGGAAAAUCAUGGUUGCUUUCAGUUUGCCAUCAUAGUACACACCAUAGAGGAUAAAUGUCGAUGUUGGUCACUCUUUAUUGACGUCAAUUGGUUUUACUUAUACAAUACUCACCCUCAGUAGUAAAAAUGAUGCUUCUUUAUUUGUGGUUGUUUACAAGAAUUAUUUUAUCACGAUGCUAGCCAUAUGGUGUUUUAUAUUUUGUUGGUUUUGUUAGGUUUUAAGUGUAGAUGACAAAAGUAAUUCCCUGCUAUUAUUUAAUACUUGGAUGGUUCAUUUAUUAUUACUUUAUAUAUUUUUUUAUUUUACAUUUUGUAAUAUAACAUUUCUUUAUCCUUGAUUUUGAUUGAAGAUAGUGUAAUAUUUUUUGUUUUCCUAAAUAAUAUAUGGAUAUUUGCUUUUAACUUGUCAUGUCUGAUAAGAGGAUAUUCUUGAACAAGAGGGCUCCUGUUCAUUCAGUCCAUCACAUUCUGUUCCUCAAAGCAUUGUCUACAUUGCAAUCCGAGCUUCACAUUGCAUGCUCUUUAUACGUUGGGCCAAUUGUAUCUGAUUAUAGUGUUCAGGUAACAACAUGCCACGAGGAAAACGAUUCAGAGAUGUUGAGUUUCAGCACACAUCCGUGGGAUCUUCUUCCGAUCAGUCCCUACGGUCCCAGCAGCACGAGUCCCAUUCUCAGCACGAGUUCCAUACUCAACACGAGUCUCAGUCUGAGCACGUGUCACCUGCUGAUUGUCCAGACAUGGAUGACGUGCAUAUCCAAGAUGGACUGGGGAGAGUGAGGAGGACACGAGGACCCACUCGAGCACGGGAUGUGUGGAAUCUACAUGAGGAUGAGAAGAUCGUUGUCCAUUGCAAUAAACUGGGGCAGCCCAUCAAGAGGGCUGCAAGCAUUUUAUCGACUUUUCUAGGAUCGGUUGCGCGGAAUGGUCAGUUGUGUCCGCUCAACUAUACAAAAUGGAAUGAAAUGCUUCCUUCGUAUAAGGUUGAGCUUCUUAAAGUUAUUGAGCGUAAGUUUUUGCUUCCUAAAGAGAGCCAUGAUUGGGUGUUGUAGUCCGUCAACCGCAAGUGGAAAGAAUAUAGGGCCAAGUUAAAGGCGGACUGGAAGCACGAUGGUAUGACAGAAGAGGAGGUUGCCCAUGUUUGUCCUCCUGAUGUAAUCCCUCAUCAGUGGAGGGAGCUUGUCUACUACUGGUUUUCCGAGAAAGCUCAGGUUGUGUAUAUUAAUUCAAUACUUUAGAUUGUAUUUACUAAUAAUAUAGAUUACAAAUUUAUACAUUAAAUAUAUUAUAUUGUUUAUUCUUUUUUUGGGAAGACAUAUUCCAACAUUGGUAGAGCUGCACGAGCCUCUCAGACUGUUCCUCAUACUUCAGGCUCGAUGAGUUAUGCUAGGCGUAGAGCUGAAUUCAUGGAUGAUAAUGGGAGGGAGCCUAGUAAGGUGGAGUUUUAUAAGAUGACUCACACCCACCGAGAUGGCAGUUUUGUUCGGGAGGAGUCAAGAAAUAUAGUUGACAGGGCAACAACUCUUAUUUCAGAGCGCGUCGGAGAGUCAUCAUCAUCCGACGCGACCAGUCAUGUCGAAGCUCAGGUGCUCGCUGAAUUAUUGGGCCCAGAGCGUUAUGGUCGAGUGAGGGGUUAUGGCGUUGGAGUUACCCCCACUCAGUUGUCUGCAGUGGGCAUGUAUACAAGAAAUGCUGGAGAAGGCAGUAGCAAUGCAGAAGUUAGUAGACUUCGGGCAAUAAUUGAAGAUAUGAAGGAUCGCCAUCAGGCAGAGUUGGCAGAGCUGAAACAGAACUAACAAACUUUGCAGUCUCAGCUUGAGCAUAUUUCAUCUAUGUUACAGCGAUUUCUCCCUCCUCAGGUUCCUGAUACUUCAAUAGCUCGCAGAGAUGAUGAUGGGGCUGAAUGCGGUCCCUGAUAUUUUUUAGACUAUUAUUUAAUGAGUUUUAUAUGUAUCUUUCUUAUAUUUUUCAAAAUACAUUGUAAUUCUAAACUUAUGUAAAUUUAAUCUUAUAUGACAAUAUGAAUGUUUCGAAUGAUCUGUAUGUUUGUCUUGAUGUAAAUGUAAUGCAGG